UCAGCGGUCAGCUCUCUUAGGCGUGGAAGAGCAGACGACCAAGGAGCCUCCCUGGCCGGUCCUUCCCAGGCCUAGGCAGAAAUACGUUGUUACAGAUACAGCUCCUCCUUUCUCUUCAUACUCUUGGGGAUCCUCGGAAGAGAAGUCCAUGACUAUACUUCUUUCAUCUUCUAUUGCUUAAGAUGGACUGCACCAGUUCUAGAAGAGACCCUGAAAAUGUCACUUGCACGGUCCUAAGAGGAAGGCUGGCCUUCAGCUCACUUUGCAGCCCAGACUAGUCUGGAAUUCACAAUGAUCCUCCUGCUUCAGCCUCCUAAGUGCUGGGAUUACAGGAUCUAAUUUGCUCAAGCUGGCCUUGAAUUUGUGAUCCUCCUGUCUCAAUUUCUGGAGUGGCUGGGCUUACAGCCAGCUAUGAAUGGUGGCCUGCCAUGCUACCCUGCCGCUUAGACAACUGAGUAUGGACUGAAACCUCUAAGAACUAACGGGCCUCACUAUGUAGUCCAGGCUGGCCUUGAACCCACUAUGGAGCCCAACUGACCUUGAACGCAUGGUUAUCCUCCUGCCUCAGCCUCCUGAGAGAUUACAAGCAUAUACCACCACACCCAGAUUCCUCAGCCUGGCAUUCCAGGGAUACCUCUGCCAUCUGACCUGGACCUACUGGCUCAUGCCCACCCUUCCUAAUCCAGGUGCAAACUGAUGAUCAGUCACUCAGCCUUUCCUUGGCUCUAACACAGCCUUUCUUGGUUGGUCAUUUUAUUCUAGUGCCUCUAGACUGGGGUAUUUUUUUUCUGGUUUUCUUUUAUUGAAAAUUUUUCAAAUGCUGUUUGUUUGUUUGUUUAAUAUAUAUACCAAGAAUUGAACUCAGGACCUCGCAGGUGCUGUGCCACUGAGCUAUGUUCCCUGGCCCAGAAUUUCCAUAUUCUUCAAAACCCAACUAAAAAAAUCUUUCUGAAGCCCUCCACAGUCUUUGAAUUUUUAUUUUUUUUUUCUGCAGUACAUAUUAGGGGUCGAAGCCAGGGUCGUCCCACCAAAAAGCUAUUUCUCCAGUCCUUUUUAAUUUUUUUUUAUUUCGAGACAGUCUUGAUAAAUUGAUAAUGGCUCAGGCUGGGCUCCUACUUGCAAUCCUCUUGUCUCAGCCUCCCAGAAUGCUGGGAUUACAGGCACGCACCACCAUACCUAACUGCAUUCUGAUCUUUUUCUGCAACACUUAACAGUCAGUAUCCCCAGAAUGAACACGAUUUAUGUAGUUUUCUAUUAUUUCCUGGCCAGCUGUCAGCUCCCUGAGGGCUCCCCAGAUUUUUGGCUCUUAGACCAGCACCUGGCAAUGAGUAGGUGCUCCAUAAAUGUGCAGUAGUUCAGACACGCCCUCGCUGAGAGGGCCUUUGCUCUCCUGGCAGUCUCAGCACUGCCUUUAGAUGCCGCCUUGAACGCAAGGCAUGUCAGUUGCCCAGGAUACCUGUGUUCUGGAUUUCCUCUCUCAGAUGCUUAUUUCCCCAGUGUGUGCUCCCAGUCAAGGACAUGUGGGACCCUGCGAUUGUGCUCGAUCCAAAUGUCACUUAGAAACAGCCCACCAAGGCUCGCUUCUGCCCCACCUCUAUGGGGGAGGGCUCUCUUCCAGCCAGGAUCUUCUGGGCUCUCAACAACUGGGCACCACUAGACGCAGCAAGUCCCCCAUCCCGUUGUGGACGCGCCUCAAAUUAUUUAGCCCAUUACGGAGGAGGAGACGAAAGUCACUUGUGGCGCCCCCUCUCCCCACCGAAUAGCGACCUUAGGGACUCUGGCGCAUCUGGAGCCUGUGCUGGAAGCGCAAGCCAAGCGGUCGACCUCGCUCCAGCUGCGCUUCUGACCGUGGUCAGAAA
Molecule: long non-coding RNA, 1859 nt
Organism: Cavia porcellus (domestic guinea pig)
Lineage: Eukaryota; Metazoa; Chordata; Mammalia; Rodentia; Caviidae
Exons: 7
Source: RefSeq, a predicted model, not a curated record